UACGUAGGGUGCGAGCGUUGUCCGGAAUUAUUGGGCGUAAAGGGCUCGUAGGCGGUCUGUUACGUCGGGAGUGAAACUCAGGGCUCAACCCUGAGCCUGCUUCCGAUACGGGCAGACUAGAGGUAUGCAGGGGAGAAUGGAAUUCCUGGUGUAGCGGUGAAAUGCGCAGAUAUCAGGAGGAACACCGGCGGCGAAGGCGGGUCUCUGGGCCAUACUGACGCUGAGGAGCGAAAGCGUGGGGGAGCGAACAGGAUUAGAA
This 259-nucleotide ribosomal RNA is filed under the name uncultured bacterium. Its description in RNAcentral is "partial 16S ribosomal RNA". It matches the Rfam family "Bacterial small subunit ribosomal RNA", at positions 524 to 783 of the family's 1533-position model. The record is from RNAcentral.